Molecule: non-coding RNA, 1518 nt
Filed under: Trichomonas vaginalis G3
Lineage: Eukaryota; Parabasalia; Trichomonadida; Trichomonadidae
Description: Eukaryotic large subunit ribosomal RNA
Rfam family: Eukaryotic large subunit ribosomal RNA
Source: Rfam by way of RNAcentral
ACGUCUGAAUAAGGUGCCCGAAAUGUACUAUCACUGAUACCAUAAAGGGAGUCCAUGUAUUUAGACAGCAGGUCGGUGCCCCUAAAAGCAGGUAUCCGCUAAAGAGUGUGUUAAAACUCACCUGCCGAAUACUAGGGCCCCCGAAAAUGAAUGGCGCAUAUAGUACUACCGAUCUCAGACAUCAGUUCUAUUGAACUGAGAGUAGGGGGAUGUGGACAUUUUUGUGAAGGUGCAAUGUGAGUUGGACUGGAAGAAUGUCUAUUACAGAUCCUAAUUGAAGUAGCGAUUAUCCAGGCUUGUAUCCUGGGGGCUGAUGAGGAGUAGGGUUUCUGGACAACUUAAACAGAUCCAGAGUUAGUCGAUCCUAAUCUCAAUAAUGGGAGAAAGGGAGUACAGUUGAUAUUCUGUAACUGACAACAGUUCGCGGCAACGCAUACUAUUUUUCUCCGCCAAUCUUAUACCGUUGGUAGGGAUCUCUUUCCUACAUGACAGUACUAAUACCCAGGGAAACUGGUCAUCAGGCGAACUGCGGCGUUCUGCUGGCAAAACAUAGCUUCGGUUAUGUCAAUGGCUAUUGGAUUGGUCCAUGAAGCGAAAAAUAGUUUACUGUGUCACUCGUACCGAUAACCGCAUCAGGUCUUCUAGGUAAGUAGCCUAUGGCCAUUGAGGCAUGAUAGUUCAGGGAAUUCGGCCAAUUAGAGCUGUAACUUCGGGAUAAAGCUUGGCUCUGAUGAAAAUCAGAACCGAUUGUUACGCGGAGAGCCCAACUGUUUAAUAAAAACGUAGUGUCGCGCUGUGGUAGUAUAGCCAGUGAACGCGACAUGAAUCCUGCUCAGUGCUGUGUCUGUUAAUAUGGUUCAAGCCAACGAAGCACCGGUAAAUAGCUGGGGUAACUAUGACUCUUAUCAAAGUAGCGAAAUACCUCGUCACUUAAUUAGUGACCUGCAUGAACGGAGCUAUGAGGUUCUCACUGUCCCAAACUGUCUCUCAGCGAACCAACUGUAGUGGGAACGGUCACUAGAUAUCCAGCGGGGAAAGAAGACCCUGUAGAGCUUCACUUUGGUCUAGUCUUGUAUAGUUCCUGCGGGGGUGUAGACUAGGUGGGAGAGCAAUCGAUUCUGAAAAACCACUACCCUGUUUGGAAUUAUGCUUACCUAUCACAAGGAAUAGGACUAGAUAGAAAGUUUGGCUGGGGCGGCACACCUUCGAAAGAGCAGCGAAGGUGUCCUAAGUUGAGCUCAGUGAGGACAGAAAUCUCACGUUGAGGAUAAGGCCAAAAGCUCAAUUUACUGUGCCUUUUUGUACUAGGAUCAGUUACGAAAGUAAGGCCUAACGAUCCCUAAAUAGCCUCAGGUGCGUGAGGAUUGGGGUGACAGACAAGUUACCUCCGGGACAACUGGCUUGUGGCUGCUAAGAGAUCAAAUCAACGCAGCUUUUUGAUUCUUCGAUGUCGGCUCUUCCUAUCCUAGUGAUAAACAAGUUGCUAAGGGUCGGAUUGUUCACCCGUAUUAGGGAUCG